Molecule: ribosomal RNA, 231 nt
Filed under: uncultured bacterium
Lineage: Bacteria
Description: partial 16S ribosomal RNA
Rfam family: Bacterial small subunit ribosomal RNA
Source: RNAcentral
CGGGUGCGUAACACGUAUGCAACCUACCUUUAACUGGGGGAUAGCCUUCCGAAAGGAAGAUUAAUACCGCAUAACAUAGUGAAAUGGCAUCAUUUUAUUAUUAAAACUCCGGUGGUUAAAGAUGGGCAUGCGUAUCAUUAGCUAGUUGGUGAGGUAAUGGCUCACCAAGGCUACGAUGAUUAGGGGGUCUGAGAGGAUGAUCCCCCACACUGGUACUGAGACACGGACCAG